ACUCCUACGGGAGGGCAGCAGUGGGAAUAUUGGACAAAUGGGGGAAACCCUGAUCCAGCCAUGCCGCGUGUGUGAAGAAGGCCUUCGGGUUGUAAAGCACUUUUCAGUGGGAGGAAAGGUUGAUGGUUAAUACCCAUCAGCUGUGACGUUUACCCACAGAAGAAGCACCGGCUAACUCCGUGCCAGCAGCCGCCGGUAAUACGGAGGGUGCGAGCGUUAAUCGGAAUUACUGGGCGUAAAGCGCAU
This 246-nucleotide ribosomal RNA is filed under the name uncultured bacterium. RNAcentral's name for it is "partial 16S ribosomal RNA". It matches the Rfam family "Bacterial small subunit ribosomal RNA", at positions 335 to 570 of the family's 1533-position model. The record is from RNAcentral.